AAACAAAUCCUUUCCUUCCUCAAUCUCAGGAAAUAUCACAGUCUUAUCAAAACAAUUGAUAGAAACUCGGUUAAACACCAACCAGUUCAUUCCCAAGAUAACAUCAAUCUGCACUAAUGGAAGACACACAAGGUCCAUCCCAAAGUCUCUACCAAAAAUAUUCAAAGGACAAUUUAAACAAACUGAAGUAGUAGUCACUGAACCCUUCGCAGGAGUAUCAAUCACCAUACUUCCAAGCAUCUCAGAUAUCUC
This 252-nucleotide long non-coding RNA is filed under the name Lathyrus oleraceus (garden pea). Its description in RNAcentral is "Pisum sativum (pea) long non-coding RNA (PSAT_LNC039140)". The record is from RNAcentral. Lineage: Eukaryota; Viridiplantae; Streptophyta; Magnoliopsida; Fabales; Fabaceae.